Long non-coding RNA from Anarrhichthys ocellatus (wolf-eel), 652 nucleotides. RefSeq lists it as uncharacterized. NCBI's taxonomy places the organism in Eukaryota, Metazoa, Chordata, Actinopteri, Perciformes, Anarhichadidae. The record is from RefSeq and is a predicted model, not a curated record. The transcript has 3 exons.
CUGAACAGCAUAGGGAGAGGGGUGCGUGUGUGUUUGUGUGCAUAAUACAGAGCUGGUGAUAGAAAAUGAGAGGCUGGGAUGGAGGGAGGCAGACAGAGAGAGAAACCGAGACAGAAAACGUGAUCAAGGUGAAGAAUGGAACGGUGAACAUUGAGGAAGAAGAAACAGCCACAGUGAGAUGUUAGAUGAAGAGCUGAAGAGCAUAACAUGAAGACGGAGAAACACUGGAGGACUGUAUAGAAUGAAUCUCCACUCCACUGAAGGAGGACCGUAUCCAGCCAUUCUCUAUGAAGCUCCAGCUGUAUGCGGCAUGAUGACUGCCACCAUUCAUUACUCAUUCCACUCUGACUUCCCUAUUUUUGAUUAUUAUUCUCCAAUAGUCUCACCCUAAUUUGAACCACUUGCUUGGCUCUCGAGCUAAUUAAACCAUGCACCACAGUUCGGGGCUUAAUGUUUACAAAGGGCUUUGGCACACUGUACUAUACAAUUCUCCCUCCCACCUGUUUGUAUUCAAAUCUGCACUCAUCUUGGUUUCAGUGUUCACAGAAGUCAGCACUUUCCCUCAUCUUUUAAAAGUUUUAGACCUCGUUUUCUGUCCUCUCAUCCUCUUAUUUUCUCCCCCCACACAAAUGAAUAAUAAAUGGGGCAUCAU